CAGCAGCCACGGUAAAACAGAGGGUGCGAGCGUUAAUCGGAUUUACUGGGCGUAAAGCGUGCGUAGGCGGCUUUUUAAGUCGGAUGUGAAAUCCCUGAGCUUAACUUAGGAAUUGCAUUUGAUACUGGGAAGCUAGAGUAUGGGAGAGGAUGGUAGAAUUCCAGGUGUAGCGGUGAAAUGCGUAGAGAUCUGGAGGAAUACCGAUGGCGAAGGCAGCCAUCUGGCCUAAUACUGACGCUGAGGUACGAAAGCAUGGGGAGCAAACAGGAUUAGAUACCCCCGUAGUCCCUGUCUCUUAUAA
Molecule: ribosomal RNA, 301 nt
Filed under: uncultured bacterium
Lineage: Bacteria
Description: partial 16S ribosomal RNA
Rfam family: Bacterial small subunit ribosomal RNA
Source: RNAcentral